Molecule: long non-coding RNA, 1113 nt
Organism: Juglans regia (Persian walnut)
Lineage: Eukaryota; Viridiplantae; Streptophyta; Magnoliopsida; Fagales; Juglandaceae
Exons: 3
Source: RefSeq, a predicted model, not a curated record
CCCGGAUUCCCUUUCUCCCUCUCGGCUUCCCAGCCCCCACAACCCAGCCGCACCACCAUUGUCGGCACCCCCACAUCGUCACUGGCGACCUUCCCCACCUUCUCUCUCUCUCUCUCACAAUCAGGCUUGAAGCCCAUAGCCCUCUCUCUCUCCUCCCUCAAUUUCUCUCAACUGCGCCAUCGCAAGAAGCCCACGAUCUCACUGUCAAGCCUCAUCGACCACCCCUCCCUCACGGCUCCACCGUCACACCAAAGCUAUUUCUCUCCCUCCCGAUCUUUCCUUUCUCUCUUGGAUUCCUUUAGAUCCGCCGCCACCUGCGGCUGCCACCACCACCACACCAUGCCGCAAUGCCACCAACCCCUUCCCUUCUCAAAUCCACGCCUUUCUCUCCCAUCUCCCUCAAGAAUCUGACGCGUUUUGGUGUGUUGCUGCCGUGCGCCGCCUCCAGCCACGACUGUUGCCACACGGGGUCAGCCCCGUGACUCAGCCCGAGUAACACCGUGCCCAGCUAGGCGAGGCCUUGCCUUCCUCUCUUUUCCCCUUCGGCCUCAAGCACCCAUGCACAUCCCCACCACCGUACAUGACCAAGCCAGCCACCCAGCACCACCCCUCUCCACCUCCUGCCGCCACCACGAAGCCCCACCAAAUCCUAACUACCCAAACAGCCCUGUCUUAGGGUCACGGUAGCGACCAUCGGGCCCCAACCGGCCUCUCCUAGCACAUGUGUAGCCGCCAUCGCAGGACCAUGUUGGGCAGCAAGCGAUGCAACAGAUCAGCCUUGACACAUGGUGACGCUUAAUUAUUGUUCGACAUCUUUGAGGAAAAUUCUGAAAAAGCUAAGAAGUCCAGGAUUACUAUACGUCUAAUAAUUCUCCUGGAUGUUGACCGAUCGGCCAGUAUCAUUGGCACCACGGAACCUUGCCUAGUCUUUUAUGAAAGAUGGGGCGCCACAUUGGAAACUGAGACACAUAUCAUCACCAUAGACCCAACAGUUACAAACUGUAUUCAUGAAAACUUAACACAAAUCCUUUGCUCUAAUCUCCUCUGUAACGUCUCUUUUUCCAUGUUCUCUUGUAUUUUCCUUUUACAUAUUUGUACAUACACUAUAUAUAA